This 475-nucleotide ribosomal RNA is filed under the name Sipyloidea biplagiata. RNAcentral describes it as "partial large subunit ribosomal RNA". The stretch from base 339 to 475 matches the Rfam family "Bacterial large subunit ribosomal RNA", at positions 2473 to 2610 of the family's 2925-position model. Lineage: Eukaryota; Metazoa; Arthropoda; Insecta; Phasmatodea; Lonchodidae. The record is from RNAcentral.
UUAUUUAAUGGCCGCAGUAUUCUGACUGUGCAAAGGUAGCAUAAUCAUUAGUUCAUUAAUUGUGGACUUGUAUGAAUGGUUGGACGAAAUAUUAACUGUCUUAUUAUUUAAAAUUANAAUUUAAAUUUUGAGUUAAAAUGCUUAAAUUUUAUUAUUGGACGAGAAGACCCUAUAGAUCUUUAUUUUAAUUUUUAUUAAUUAUUUUGGUUUAUUUAUUGUUAAUAGGUUUUAUUAUUUUGUUGGGGUGAUGUUGAGAUAUAAUUAACUCUUUAUUAUAUUAUACAAAUAUUUUUGUUUAUAUGACCUUAUUUUAUUGUUAUAAGAUUANAUACCUUAGGGAUAACAGCGUAAUUUUCUUUGAGAGUUCAUAUCGACGAGAAAGAUUGCGACCUCGAUGUUGGAUUAAGAUUAUUUUUAGGUGUAGCCGCUUAAUUAAUAAGUCUGUUCGACUUUUAAAUUCUUACAUGAUCUGAGU